GACGAACGCUGGCGGCGUGCUUAACACAUGCAAGUCGAACGGUAAGGCUCCAGCUUGCUGGGGUACACGAGUGGCGAACGGGUGAGUAACACGUGGGUGACCUGCCCUGCACUUCGGGAUAAGCCUGGGAAACUGGGUCUAAUACCGGAUAGGACCGCACCGUGAGGGUGUGGUGGAAAGUUUUUUCGGUGUGGGAUGGGCCCGCGGCCUAUCAGCUUGUUGGUGGGGUAAUGGCCUACCAAGGCGGCGACGGGUAGCCGGCCUGAGAGGGUGGACGGCCACAUUGGGACUGAGACACGGCCCAGACUCCUACGGGAGGCAGCAGUGGGGAAUAUUGCACAAUGGGCGGAAGCCUGAUGCAGCGACGCCGCGAGGGGGAUGACGGCCUUCGGGUUGUAAACUCCUUUCACCACCGACGAAGGGUUUCUGACGGUAGAUGGAGAAGAAGCACCGGCUAACUACGUGCCAGCAGCCGCGGUAAUACGUAGGGUGCGAGCGUUGUCCGGAAUUACUGGGCGUAAAGAGCUCGUAGGUGGUUUGUCGCGUCGUCUGUGAAAUUCCGGGGCUUAACUCCGGGCGUGCAGGCGAUACGGGCAUAACUUGAGUACUGUAGGGGAGACUGGAAUUCCUGGUGUAGCGGUGAAAUGCGCAGAUAUCAGGAGGAACACCGGUGGCGAAGGCGGGUCUCUGGGCAGUAACUGACGCUGAGGAGCGAAAGCAUGGGGAGCGGACAGGAUUAGAUACCCUGGUAGUCCAUGCCGUAAACGGUGGGCGCUAGGUGUGGGUUUCCUUCCACGGGAUCCGUGCCGUAGCUAACGCAUUAAGCGCCCCGCCUGGGGAGUACGGCCGCAAGGCUAAAACUCAAAGGAAUUGACGGGGGCCCGCACAAGCGGCGGAGCAUGUGGAUUAAUUCGAUGCAACGCGAAGAACCUUACCUGGGCUUGACAUAUACAGGAUCGCGCCAGAGAUGGUGUUUCCCUUGUGGCUUGUAUACAGGUGGUGCAUGGUUGUCGUCAGCUCGUGUCGUGAGAUGUUGGGUUAAGUCCCGCAACGAGCGCAACCCUUGUCUUAUGUUGCCAGCACGUUGUGGUGGGGACUCGUAAGAAACUGCCGGGGUUAACUCGGAGGAAGGUGGGGAUGACGUCAAAUCAUCAUGCCCCUUAUGUCCAGGGCUUCACACAUGCUACAAUGGUCGGUACAGUGGGUUGCCAGUCCGUGAGGGCGAGCUAAUCCCGCAAAGCCGGUCUCAGUUCGGAUCGGGGUCUGCAACUCGACCCCGGGAAGUCGGAGUCGCUAGUAAUCGCAGAUCAGCAACGCUGCGGUGAAUACGUUCCCGGGCCU
RNAcentral lists this ribosomal RNA (1341 nucleotides) under uncultured bacterium. RNAcentral's name for it is "16S ribosomal RNA". It matches the Rfam family "Bacterial small subunit ribosomal RNA", at positions 28 to 1381 of the family's 1533-position model. The record is from RNAcentral.